UACGUAGGCAGCAAGCGUUGUUCGGAAUUACUGGGCGUAAAGAGUGUGUAGGCGGUGCACUAAGUCUGUCGUGAAAUCUCCCGGCUUAACUGGGAGGGUGCGGCGGAUACUGGUGUGCUCGAGGGUGGGAGAGGUAAGCGGAAUUCCUGGUGUAGCGGUGAAAUGCGUAGAUAUCAGGAGGAACACCUGUGGUGUAGACAGCUUACUGGACCAUUUCUGACGCUGAGACACGAAAGCGUGGGUAGCAAAC
This 250-nucleotide ribosomal RNA is filed under the name uncultured bacterium. Its description in RNAcentral is "partial 16S ribosomal RNA". It matches the Rfam family "Bacterial small subunit ribosomal RNA", at positions 524 to 773 of the family's 1533-position model. The record is from RNAcentral.